This 424-nucleotide long non-coding RNA is filed under the name Carica papaya (papaya). Its description in RNAcentral is "long non-coding RNA (CPAP_LNC015587)". Lineage: Eukaryota; Viridiplantae; Streptophyta; Magnoliopsida; Brassicales; Caricaceae. The record is from RNAcentral.
CGGAGAAGACGACCCAGCCACUAGAGGAAUCGACCGCCGCACCGGAGGAUUUUUCGGCCUUCAAAUGAAGUAAAAUUUCUCCCAUUGGCUCAUUUUUCGAUGCUGAACCUCCCUGUGGCCAAAUCAGAGUCAAACCACUGGCCGAUUGGCCGGAAAACACUGCCGAAGUCCAGCGGCGCCACGCAGGUUUCCUCGAUUUUUGCCUCCGAUGAGGCCCUUCCCGGUUCCAGUUCGAUGUAAUUUUUAUACCACUGUGACCACCGUCCUUUUCUCUGUAGGUUGACAGGAGGAAAACACCAAAUCGCAACUCGCGUCGGAGGAGUCGCCGCACCCGAGAGCUUCGCCGCCGGUAAGUCUCAAUUUUUUGAAAUUUUUUGGCCCACUGAGGGCCCUAGGGGUGUUUUAUCACAGGAACCAAUGCAAG